RNAcentral lists this unclassified non-coding RNA (2126 nucleotides) under uncultured fungus. Its description in RNAcentral is "sequence contains 18S rRNA gene, ITS1, 5.8S rRNA gene, ITS2, 28S rRNA gene". The stretch from base 1004 to 2126 matches the Rfam family "Eukaryotic large subunit ribosomal RNA", at positions 1 to 961 of the family's 3401-position model. The record is from RNAcentral. Lineage: Eukaryota; Fungi.
GGAAGGAUCAUUACAACGUAUCCAACGUUUCAACCAACCCCAGUGAACUUGUUCCCUCUCCCUCGACGAUGUUGCUGUUGCAGCGUAGAAGUGUGCGUCUUUUUGGACGUAUGCAGACGGUUGCCAGUGAUGGAAUUGAGGCUUGUUGCUCUCUCGCUCUCUCGACUGCGUGUCGAAGACGAGUGGAGUCGACUCAUACAAACCAAUGUCACCUAUAACCAUACGACACUCUUCAACCAGUGUCAAUCAUGAUAUUAUUUUUCGUUCGACGCAGUUCGACUCACCUCGACUCGUCGUUUCACGUUUAUUUAUAUUAACGUGCAUAACAACUCUUUGCGAUGGAUGUCUUGGUUCUCGCACCGAUGAAGAACGCAGCGAAAUGCGAUACGUAAUGCGAAUUGCAGAAUUCCGUGAAUCAUCAAAUCUUUGAACGCAAAUGGCGCUCUUGGGUAGACCUAGGAGCACGUUUCUCUCAGUAUCGGUUCAACUUCCUCUCAGCAGCGUGUGGGGCUAAGUCAAAUUAGCAACACAUGUGAUGGCUGGUAAAUGAGAGUCGGAAUGCUACGACAUUUCGUCUCUUGAAAUACAUCGAGUUUGUACUCCCCGCCUAUCAUGGCACGUAGGAGUCUAUCAUGAGUAUGCUCUCGUAGCAUACUUCCCCCAUCUGCACUGACUGAUUGCAGGCUUCUAUGAGGCCCGUAGUUAGACAGCCACGAGCGAUUCAGCGAUGGUGCCCUUGCUUUUUGGCAGCGGUACUAACGUAUGAUGCUCGAUCCGAUGCGCUCUCUAUGACGUGAAGAAUGACCUGCGUGGUCUCUCUUUCUCGACGUCGUGGCUGUAGUGUGAAUGUGAUCGAAUAUUGUACGGCAGCGGUGAGUGGUUUGAGUGUGAUUGGGUGAUAGAUGGAGCGUUUGCUAUUGGGCAUAUCAGAGUCAAGCAUUGGUAAUCCAUGAUGAGUAUGUGUCUCGACCUCGUGUCGAUGUCAUAGGACUCUCUCUGUUUUCGAUCUGAGAUGAAGCGAGACAACCCCCUGAAUUUAAGCAUAUUAAUAAGGGGAGGAAAAGAAACUAACAAGGAUUCCCCUAGUAACGGCGAGUGAAGCGGGAAGAGCUCAAUUUGAAAAUCGACUACCCAAACGGGUCGUCGAAUUGUAGCCUAUAGACGUACUAUCAGCUGUAAUCUGGGUAUAAGUUCUUUGGAAUGAGGCACGUAACAGGGUGAGAGUCCCGUCUACGACCCAAAGAUUGCAGCGUACGAUGUAUGUUCUUCGAGUCGAGUUGUUUGGGAUUGCAGCUCUAAAUGGGUGGUAAGUUUCAUCUAAAGCUAAAUAAUGGCGAGAGACCGAUAGCGAACAAGUACCGUGAGGGAAAGAUGAAAAGAACUUUGAAAAGAGAGUGAAAAGUACCUGAAAUCGCAAAGAGGGAAGCGCUGAAAACUAGUGUGAUGCCAUGCUUUACGCACUUCGCCUUCUGACAUACGGCUUCGUAAUUGGAAACUUUACUUGGACGUGUGAAGGGGUGGUGAGGUGUUUUGAGUAUGGUAUUGGUCCAGAUCCAUUCGUAUUGUGGGAGAAGGCUUAGGGAAAGGUAGGAGAGUUCGCUCUCUGUUAUAGUCCUUAGGCUCUACCUCGGCAUGGAUGGAGGAAGAAAUGGUGCGCCGCUUGCGGCUUGAUCUUGCGUUCCUGAUGUGCGUCGUUGGUGGCGAGAGCAAUGCUCUGGUCACUACGAUCGUAUAUUACUGAGCGUAACGAUCCGACGUGCCAUCACGAUCUGGUACGAAAUGGUUUUCAUCGACCCGUCUUGAAACACGGACCAAGGAGUCUAACAUCUAUGCAAGUAUUUGGGUGCUAAACCCUGAUGCGCAAUGAAAGUGAAGACAGCUUCGUGCUGUUGAGGUAGGAAGUCUCCGGCAUGACGGGGAUGGCACUAUCGACCGAUCAUCACUUGUGAAAGAUUUGAGUCAGAGCAUAUCUGUUGGGACCCGAAAGAUGGUGAUCUAUGCCUGAACAGGGUGAAGCCAGGGGAAACUCUGGUGGAGGCUCGUAGCGAUACUGACGUGCAAAUCGUUCGUCUGAUUUGGGUAUAGGGGCGAAAGACUAAUCGAACCAUCUAGUAGCUGGUUCCCUC